RNAcentral lists this unclassified non-coding RNA (269 nucleotides) under Hevea brasiliensis (rubber tree). The record is from RNAcentral. Lineage: Eukaryota; Viridiplantae; Streptophyta; Magnoliopsida; Malpighiales; Euphorbiaceae.
GCCCACAGUACCAUCCAGGAAUGUUGGCUGCUGCCAUAUAGUCAGCAUAAAGGGAAGCUAAGAAGGCGGAGUUAGCAGCAUACUGUAGAGGUUGCGGCCGGCCAUGGUUCAGCUGAAUCAACCCACCCUUGGUAAAGUUGAAGACAUUGAAGCGCUCGAAAUUCGAGCAAAGGCUGAUACUCGUAGCAUUCUGGUAUCCCUGUAGCGUCUCCUCAGCAGGGUACCCUGGGUUCAAGAACAUCCUAUACCUCGCCAGCAGUAGCUCGGCU